Molecule: ribosomal RNA, 463 nt
Filed under: uncultured bacterium
Lineage: Bacteria
Description: partial 16S ribosomal RNA
Rfam family: Bacterial small subunit ribosomal RNA
Source: RNAcentral
GAUGAACGCUGACAGAAUGCUUAACACAUGCAAGUCUUUGGCGAAGCUGUGCUUGCACCGCCUAGCCAAGGCGGACGGGUGAGUAACGCGUAAGGAACUUGCCCUGCAGUCAGGGAUAACAGACGGAAACGACUGAUAAGACCUGGUAAAGUCAGGCGGACUCAUGUCCAGCCUGAUGAAAGGAGAUGCUGCAGGAGAGCCUUGCGUCCUAUUAGCUUGUUGGUGGGGUAACGGCCCACCAAGGCGAUGAUAGGUAGCCGGCCUGAGAGGGUGGACGGCCACAAGGGGACUGAGAUACGGCCCUUACUCCUACGGGAGGCAGCAGUGGGGAAUAUUGGACAAUGGGGGCAACCCUGAUGCAGCAAUUCUGUGUGCACGAUGAAGGUUUUCGGAUUGUAAAGUGCUUUCAGCAGGGAAGAAAAAAAUGACGGUACCUGCAGAAGAAGCGACGGCUAAAUACGUG